This 254-nucleotide ribosomal RNA is filed under the name uncultured bacterium. RNAcentral's name for it is "partial 16S ribosomal RNA". It matches the Rfam family "Bacterial small subunit ribosomal RNA", at positions 524 to 777 of the family's 1533-position model. The record is from RNAcentral.
UACGGAGGGUGCGAGCGUUGUCCGGAAUCACUGGGCGUAAAGGGCGCGUAGGUGGCGCGGGAAGUCAACGGUGAAAGUUCGGGGCUCAACCCUGAAUCGGCCGUCGAUACUCCCGGGCUCGAGCACUGUAGAGGCAGAUGGAAUUCCGGGUGUAGCGGUGGAAUGCGUAGAGAUCCGGAAGAACACCGGUGGCGAAGGCGGUCUGCUGGGCAGUGCUGACACUGACGGCGCGACAGCGUGGGGAGCAAACAGGG